Molecule: ribosomal RNA, 246 nt
Filed under: uncultured bacterium
Lineage: Bacteria
Description: partial 16S ribosomal RNA
Rfam family: Bacterial small subunit ribosomal RNA
Source: RNAcentral
GUGAUGCAGAGUAAAACUCAAAAAACGGUACUCAGUUCGGAUUNAAGGCUGAAAUUCGCCAUCAUGAAGCUGGAGUUACUAGUAAUCGCAGAUCAGAAUGCUGCGGUGAAUGCGUUCCCGGGUCUUGUACACACCGCCCGUCACACCACGGAAGUUGGGGGCGCCCGAAGCCACUUAGCUAACCCUUUUGGGAAGCGAGUGUCGAAGGUGAAAUCAAUAACUGGGGUGAAGUCGUAACAAGGUAAC